RNAcentral lists this transfer RNA (73 nucleotides) under Colletotrichum incanum. It matches the Rfam family "tRNA". Rfam says of the family: Transfer RNA (tRNA) molecules are approximately 80 nucleotides in length. Lineage: Eukaryota; Fungi; Ascomycota; Sordariomycetes; Glomerellales; Glomerellaceae. The record is from Rfam by way of RNAcentral.
GCCUAUAUAGUUAAGUAGUAUAAUCUUAGUUUUUAAUAACUAAAGGUUAUAGGUUUAAAUUUUACUAUAGGUA